UACACGAAAGUGUGGCGGGGUUACCCAAAGUGUUCAAUUUUGAACUGUGGUAGGUGAGUAAUGUUCCCUACUAGAAAGGAGAGGGCAAGGCUGGUGCCAGCCGCCGCGGUAAAACCAGCUCUUCAAGUGGUCGGGAUAAUUAUUGGGCUUAAAGUGUCCGUAGCCGGUUUAGUAAGUUCCUGGUAAAAUCGGGUAGCUUAACUAUCUAUAUGCUAGGAAUACUACUAUACUAGAGGGCGGGAGAGGUCUGAGGUACUGCAGGGGUAGGGGUGAAAUCUUAUAAUCCUUGUUGGACCACCAGUGGCGAAGGCGUCAGACUGGAACGCGCCUGACGGUGAGGGACGAAAGCCAGGGGAGCGAACCGGAUUAGAUACCCGGGUAGUCCUGGCCGUAAACGAUGCAUACUAGGUGAUGGCACGGCCAUGAGCCGUGUCAGUGCCGUAGGGAAACCGUUAAGUGUGCCGCCUGGAAGUACGGUCGCAAGGCUAAA
Molecule: ribosomal RNA, 490 nt
Filed under: uncultured archaeon
Lineage: Archaea
Description: bacterial SSU rRNA
Rfam family: Archaeal small subunit ribosomal RNA
Source: RNAcentral